This 301-nucleotide ribosomal RNA is filed under the name uncultured bacterium. RNAcentral describes it as "partial 16S ribosomal RNA". It matches the Rfam family "Bacterial small subunit ribosomal RNA", at positions 509 to 807 of the family's 1533-position model. The record is from RNAcentral.
CAGCAGCCGCGGGAAAACGAAGGGUGCAAGCGUUAAUCGGAAUUACUGGGCGUAAAGCGUGCGUAGGCGGUUUGUUAAGACAGAUGUGAAAUCCCCGGGCUCAACCUGGGAACUGCAUUUGUGACUGGCAAGCUAGAGUGUGGCAGAGGGGGGUGGAAUUCCGCGUGUAGCAGUGAAAUGCGUAGAUAUGCGGAGGAACACCGAUGGCGAAGGCAGCCCCCUGGGCCAACACUGACGCUCAUGCACGAAAGCGUGGGGAGCAAACAGGAUUAGAUACCCCGGUAGUCCCUGUCUCUUAUAC